UACGGGGGGGGGGCAAGCGUUUGCUCGGAAUCACUGGGGCGUAAAAGGGUGCGUAGGCGGGUCUUUUAAAGUCAGGGGUGAAAUCCUGGAGCUCAACUCCAGAACUGCCUUUGAUACUGAAGAUCUUGAGUUCGGGGAGAGGUGAGUGGAACUGCGAGUGUAGAGGUGAAAUUCGUAGAUAUUCGCAAGAACACCAGUGGCGAAGGCGGCUCACUGGCCCGAUACUGACGCUGAGGCACGAAAGCGUGGGGAGCAAACAGG
This 261-nucleotide ribosomal RNA is filed under the name uncultured bacterium. RNAcentral's name for it is "partial 16S ribosomal RNA". It matches the Rfam family "Bacterial small subunit ribosomal RNA", at positions 522 to 776 of the family's 1533-position model. The record is from RNAcentral.